Molecule: long non-coding RNA, 1206 nt
Organism: Cyprinus carpio carpio
Lineage: Eukaryota; Metazoa; Chordata; Actinopteri; Cypriniformes; Cyprinidae
Source: Ensembl
GUCUGUCUCAUAUAAAUGUUCAUAUAUUGGAUUAAAAAAAAAGGGAAUUAUACUAGUUAGUUUUUUAGUUUUUAAAGUAGGGGUGCAUUUAAAUAUUUUUAACUUGCUUGAGUGAUAUUAUUUUGGUAGGGAAAAGCAUAAUCAUAGGUAUGUAUAGGUAAAAAGUCAAAGAUUUUAGUAUUACCUUAGUUUCAGAUUCCAUCUUUCAAUAAAUAAUUAUGUAAAAGUUAUUCUGAAUGAUUUUAAGAGUCUGAGUGUCUUUAUACAAAUUCUUUAUAAAUCACAACAGAAAAAUAUUCCUUUUGUUUUUUUUUUGCUUUGCGUUUUGUUUUUUGUUUUUUUUCUUUUGUUACAACAGAGAUAAAAGGUACUAAAAUGUCCGGCAAAAUAUUUGAUGGAUUGUGAAUAACUUAGCUUUAUAUUUGUUAGAUUUAAAUUAUUUUGCUUUGUAUUAGUUGUUUUGUCUGGUCUUGUCUUGUCUUGUUUUGUUUUGUUUUGUUACAGAGAUGAAAGGUACUAAAAUGCCCUGCAAAAUAAUUGAUGGAUUGUGAAUAACUUAGAAAAGUGAAGUGAAAAAAAGUGAAAGUCGUGACAUUUGUCAAGUAUGGUAACCCAUACUCGAAAUUGGUGCUCUGCAUUUAACCCAUCCAAGUGCACACACACAGCACAGUGGGCAGCUAUAUAUCCAGCACCCGGGUAGCAACUGGGGGUUCAGUGCCUUCAGCUUCAAGGGCACUUCAGCUAUGGGUAUUGAGGGUGGAAGAGAGCGCUGUUCAUUCACUCCCUCCCACCUACAACUCCAGCCAGCACCGAGACUCGAACCUGCAACCUUUUGGUUACAAGUCCAAUUCUCUAACCAUUAGGCCACAGCUGCCCCACUUAGCUUUAUAUUUAAGUUUUGUUUUUUGUUUUUUGUUUUUUGUUUUGUUUUGUUUUGUUUUGUUUUGUUUUGGCUAAAAUGCCCGGAUUCUGAAUAGCUUGGCUUUAUAUUUCUCUCACAAUGUCAAUAAUGUGCAUACAUGUUUCUUCCAUGUAUUGAUCCUUGUUAGCUCAUGUCGGUAUGAUAUUGUAUAUUAAUUUAUUGUUGAAUCAGGGUUGCUUUGGGAAACUUCUGUUUCAGGUAUUUUACCUAGUCAAAUCAGAGCACACAUGACCUGAUAAAAUCUGCUAAAUUCAUAAACCCCACCAAACAUGUUUAGAUCUUAG